AGUGUAACAAGUACUUGAAAUGUAGAGCCGGCCGUUGUGGUCCAUUGUAUUGCUCAUGCAAACCAUUGUAUAAUUUUAAAGGAUGGUAAGUUUGAAAAGUAUUUCAUUUCCAAGAUAAAUUCUUUCAACUCUUAAAAAGAAUGCAUGUAUGCAUCUCAAACUCAUUAAUAAUUCAUGAGCAAAUUAGCGAAUGAACUCACCCUAAUUCGUCACAUGAUUGAGGUUGGAUACCGCAAGGAAACACGCUAAAAAUCAUAUACCAUCACUGUUGUUAGAUGAAAAACGGUUUUCAUCUAAUAAGUGAGAUCCUAAUUACAAAUUCAAGUCAAAACACAACAAUAUACUAUAAUAAUAUAUAUAAGCCAAUGAAAUGUUUUCGUUUGAGAUGUUGUGAAAACAACUCGUUUCUCGUGUUUCAUCAGGGGACCAAACACUCGAAAACAAUAAAACACUCGCGCUUCGCGCUCGUGUUUCAUACAGUUUUCUCGUGUUUGGAUCCCCUGAUGAAACACUCAAACUCGUUGUUUACAUAUAACAUGAAAUGUUAAAUGGAGACACAAUGGGUUUCAUUAUUUUUGUCUUGAUUUAUCAUGCAGAAAUGUCAGUGCAUCGUCACGUGCAUGUGCAUUGUAUUUUCGACAAUGAAAACAUUGCUACUGGUUGAUUUGGCGAAAAAAAUUUCCGCACGUGUGACGAUAAAGUGGCAAUAUUUUUGCAUAAACUUAAACCGAUAACGAUAUUGAGCUCUAUUGCAUUUUCAUCGAGUUUCUAACCUUGCUUCACUUUUAUAUAUACAUGGACUAUUAUUUAUAGUAUAGUCACAAUGCUUUUUGUUUCAGUGUCAGAGUGCAGCAAAUGCAUGGGGUUCAAAUACAUACAUACAUACAUACAUACAUACAUACAUACAUACAUACAUACAUACAUACAUACAUACAUACAUACAUACAUACAUACAUACAUACAUACAUACAUACAUACAUACAUACAUACAUACAUACAUACAUACAUACAUACACUUUAUUUUAACUCGUAUUUACAGAGUAGCUCAAACAAUGAGCUCAGUGUUUUCAACUAGCAAAGUUAAGUUCAUCAAAUAUACUUACAUGCCAUACGACUCGUAACAUGUUACAUAGGAGAUCUUGUGUAAAGUACACACGAGUGACCACGAGUGACCACGAAUGACCACGAAUGACCACGAGUGACCACGAAUGACCACAAGCAAUUCUGUGUUUAAAAAUCAUGAAAUAAUAUUCAAAAACUCAUUAAUAAUUCAUGAGGAAAACACAAAGAGAAAUCAUAAGCGUGGCGUGUCUUUAUAUGUGAUAAAACACGCUUCAAAUUUCAACUUGUAUUUUCUCAGCUAAUACAAAGUUAUUUUGGAAAAUUAUUUCGCCAAUGCCGUGAUCUAACUAAGACGUUUUUGAAGCUGUUUAAUAAACACGUAGUUCGUGUUUUAUCACAUAUAAAACACUCCGCUACGCGUCGUGUUUUAUAUGUGAUAAAACACUCCUACUCGUUUAUUAAACAGUACAUAAAAACUAUUUUAAGGUGGCUCCCUAAGGUUUUUGCAUUAUACUACACUAUAGUAUCCAGAAAACGCCUGUUUCUUCACUUUACAUAACAUGAAGACGACAUUUAUUGGACACAUUGACUAUGCUCUCCUGAACAUUGUAAUGUGCUACUUUUGUGCUGAAAGCCCGUUACCAUGGCAACAGCGUGCUUAGGAUUAGGCUCAAAAUUUGUCUUUUUUCGGCCAUUUUAAAAAUCCCUUAGGGAAAUUUUUUUGAGUUUUUCGACUAUUGUACACGUCAGUCUACAGGAAUGUAGCAAAGCAUCUGAAGUUGGGGGGGGGAGGUUUCGGAGGAUUUUACCUGAAAUUUGAAUUUUUAAUAAAUAUUUACCUUAAGUGUAAUAAUUAUAAUAAAGCUUUUUGCAAGGCAUUUUUUAAUACCAUGGACUGAUGGGACAUUUGCCCCACUGGGCCCGGCCUUCCUCUGCCCCACCACUGAAGAAAAAAAUGACCUAUUUCCCCAAAGCCAGGGCCCUAUGACUUGUAUUGAGUAAAUAAGUUUAAAUUAACAUUGAAAAGAAGUUUAAAAACGCUAAAAUUUGUUGGUGAGCAUACUUAAGCCCCGUUUACACUACGCUCAAUUUUUGGUACAGCACGGAUAAAAUUGGUACCCGUACCACUUUUGGGAUUAACUUGCACGGUCAUACUAAGUUUCGGGAGAAAACGGGGAUUUGGGGGUCCUCUCCCAGACAAUUGUUCCAUUUUUGAAGCUCUAGGACUGCAAUUCUGGCGUUUUCUGAAGCAAAUUUGCAAACAAAUUGAAUGGAUGUAUAUUGACUGUAUAUUUUACAAAAAUGGUUACCAUUUCACACAAAUAAUUACUUUAUUAAAUUUUAUCUGGAAUUUUACCUGAUUUUUGUCUAAGUUUCACAGUUAUGGGGGGGGGGGGGGGUUACACGUCACAUCUCGCAAAAAAUGCCAAAAUCAGUUAAACCUAAAUUUCUCCCUUUUCCUUCGGUAAAUUGUUUUAAAACUUUGCACAUUUCUUAGUAACAGCUAAACAAGCUCAAUAUCUUUUUUUCUUAAAAGGAAUAAUCUAAGAAAUGUUCCAUAUAAUUUUUUAAAAUUGAAGAAAAAAAUCAUUAAACAAGAAAGAUCUUUUAUUUAAAUUUUUAAAUUUUUGAAACGGCCGGAAAAAAUAAAUUUUGAGCUUAAUUAUCCAAAGCACGCUGUCACCAUGGUAACGGACUUUCAGCGCAAAAGUAGUAAAUUGAGAUACUUUAUUGCGUGUUCCCCUAAGGGCUUUUCAGCACUACAUUACAUAUUAAAAUUACUAUAAAUUACUUCUAAAACUACCUAUGUUACAUAAUUAUACUUAUUUAAAUUGCAAUGUUCAGGAGAGCAUUGUCAAUGUGUCCAAUAAAUUUCGUCUUCGUGUCAUGUAAAGUGAAGAAACAGGAGUUUUCUGGAUACAAAAGUGUAGUUUAAUGCAAAAACCCUAUGGAUCCACCUUAAAAUAGUUUUUUAUUAUUGUUUUAUGACUUUUAAUUAAACACAGAAAUCACUCGUGGUCACUCGUGGUCAUUCGUGGUCACUCGUGGUCAUUCGUGGUCAUUCGUGGUCACUCGUGGUCACUCGUGUGUACUUUUAGACAAGAUGUAAUGUUGCGAUGUAACGAUAUUUAGCCUCGAAAAGUACUCGAUUUAGCACAAAAACAGUGAAAAUAAACUUUAAUACGAAAUUCCUACACGAGUUUACUGUUUACUUAGCGUUCUUGUCUAUAGUACACUGAUCUCAAUAAUCCACUGAUUGUCUGCGCGCGCGUGUCCCGCGUUUUGUGUGUAAGAGUCGUAUCUCUUCUAAACAUCCCCCCUCCCCGCACUGCUGAACAUGCAAUUUCAGUGCGAUUUAACUAUUUUAACUCUUUUCUAGUCCAUAAUAUCAAUGUUCAAGUUUAAGGUCCCGAGUCCUUUCAAACUGAAGGCUCUAUCUACAAGUCAAGAAACUAUACUCUUAGUGGGACAAGUUUGUGAAUGGGUCUGACCAAUGACUUGUUUCCCAGCUGCACCUUUGUCACUCUGCUAUGUCCGUCUUUCCCUGGAUAUGUCGCUAUGAUUCGUCCCAAUGGCCAUUUUCCUCUCGGCAAGUCUUUAUCUAAGACCAGAACAACGUCACCAUCUUUCAAAUCUUUUACCACGUUCGUCCACUUCGGUCGUGUGUUCAAUGUUGGUAAAUAUUCCUUCAACCAGCGGUCUCAUACUCAUGACAGAAUUGCUUGUACCUUACGCCAUCUUUCACGAGGAUUAGCGUCCAUGUCGAUCACUUCUGGUGCAAAUUCUCCGCCUAGCUGAACAUGAAGAAAGUGGUUGGGUGUGAGUGGAACAUCAUCAGGAUUCAUCGAUUGGUAGGUUAUUGGUCGAGAGUUCAAGAAACCUUCGACACCUGCGCAUAUAGUAAUCAACUCCACGUCAGUAACAUCACUGUUCUUGAUCACCGCAUAAAUGGUCUUCUUAGCGGCCUUAACCGUUAUUUCAAAAACUCCACCAAAAUGAGGACCUCCAGGAGGAUUGAAAGCCCAUGUAGUACCCUUCUGUGUUGUGUCUCGCUGAAUCUUUUCUCGGUCUAACAGUUUCACCAGAUCUUCUAAUUCUUUCACUGCCCCGACAAAGUUCGUACCGUUGUCACUGAUUACUUCCUUAGGAACUCCUCUUCUACUGGUAAAUCUGGUAAACGCAUUGAGAAAACUGUCAGUAUCAAGCCCCCAGGCUACCUCUAAAUGGACGGCGUGCAUGUGUAGUUAGGCAUGUAAACAAACAAAGCCACCGUUUAAGUCGUUGUUUUCCUCGUCCUUGGACUGUCGUGAACGGUCCUGCAUAAUCUAAAGCAGUCUGAUCAAAAGCUCGGUAGGUGAAACGAAGACGCACUUCCGGCAGGGGUCCCAUAACCUGAGAAGCCAGCUUGUUCCGUCGCUUUUGGCAUGUACAACACUCGUUCUCCCACUCUCUUAUUUCUUCUCUAGCUGCCACAAUCCAAAAUAUCUUUGGCUGAUUUGAGCAAGCACAAAAUUAGUUCCUGCGACGUGGUUUGCCAAUGCAUGAUAAUAUCGCACGAUCAGUUUGGCAACCCAAUGUCCGCGAGGCAGAAUUAUCGGGCAUCUUCCGUCGUAGGGUAAGCUUUCAGCGUAGUAGAGACGGCUGUUGCACCGAAUAACACCUUCGCUAGUUGACUCUUCGCUGGCAGAGGUUUUCCAUUCGAUAGAGCUGCGUACUCCGCUGCAAAGGACUCUUCUUGUGCCUUACGAAUGAUCACGUCUUCAGCAUCACGAAUUUCCUCCGGUGCGAGCUCGGUUUGCCACUGCUGACGCUUCUGCUUGUUCCUCAAAUUCGUCAAGAACCUGCUAACUCUUGCUUGUAUGCGGACUAAGUGCUUCCAGUCUGAAACCCGUUUUGGAUCCAACCGCCAGAUAUCUGUGGGUUGUAUCACUUCUUCUGAUUUCGUUGCCAGACUGUGACUACCAUCGGAAACCACUGCAUUUCCUUUUCUAUCCUUCUUGUGGGCAUCUUUCGUUUCCGGAAGAUUAACUGGAGAUUUCGUCAAAUCCAUUUGAGGCCACUGCGAAGUAUCCUAUACCAACCAUACUGGACCAUUCCACCACAACGUAGACUCGGACAAUUGCAACGGUGUUGCACCUCGCGUGCACAGGUCCGCAGGAUUUUUAGCAGUGGGAACGUGCUGCCACUGUGCAGGAUUGCUAUACAUUUGUAUCUCUCCAAUUCGGUUAGCUAUAAACGGUCGAAAGUCUCUCCCAUAGCCACGAAUCCACCACAGAACGUCAGCACUGUCAGAAUAGAAGCUAACAUCCUGCAUGCUCAUUUCAAACGCCCGAAGAACAUUCUGCGUAAGUCGUAGGCCGAGAACUGCAGCCAUUAAUUCUAGUCUAGGUACCGUCAUUGGUAACAACGGUGCUACCUUACUCUUAGAGGCGAUUAAUCUGCUAGAGCGAGUGCCAUCCUCGUAUGUACAUCUCAAAUAGACAACAGCUCCGUAUGAUUUAAGUGAAGCGUCAACGAAUGUCACCAUUUCUCGACGAGCUACUACCUUGUUCUCACAUAAACACCUUGGCACAUGUAUUGUUGCGACAUCAUGCAACUGCUCAAACCAUGCUGAUAUCCGAAUUGCGAUUUCAUCUUCGAUUGUGUCAUCCCAGUCGUAGCCGCGAGCCCAAAGUUCUUGCAAUAUGACCUUGGCGACCAUUACGAAAGGACUCAUGACAAACCCAAGUGGGUCAAAUACCGCAGCAAUCGUUCGUAAAACGUUACGUUGGUUAGUGGAAGGUCGGAGGAGACUCUAGAAGCAGGUAGUGUCAGGAUAUCUUCUUUGCUGUCCCAAGCAACACCAAGGGUUUUAACAACUGGGUAUUUGUCAUCGGUAAUUGUGAGCUGCACUGCUUGGUCUUCCACUGGGAUCGCCUUCAUAAUCGCUUCCGAAUUCGAAACCCACUUCCUUGCCUGCAUUCCCGCAUGAUUCCAAAGCGAACUUAACUGCCGAUAUAACUUGACGCCGAUCUCGUCUGUCUCCACAUUGUCUAUCGAGUCAUCCAUAUAAGUCGACUUUAAAACGGUUUCUGCCGCUAAUGGAUGGGUUUCUUGGUGUAGUCUUGCAUUCUCUUGUGCGAUAAACUGCGCCUCCAUGGGGGCCGAAUUCUUGCCAAAGACGACACGAGUGAACUCAUAGACAUCGGGCUCUUUCGUAGUGUGUAGAUCACGCCACAGAACUCGAAAAUAUGGACGAUCGUUUUCUUCAAUUUCCACUUGCAGAUACAUCUCUUUAAUCAACCUCGUUCCCAGGGCUUCAGUGUGAGGACGAGGCGAGACACGAGGAAGCCCUGGUCCGGGCAGGUCAAUUUUGUAUUCUGAUUGGCUAACACCAUAUUGUCUAAAAAUAACUGAACUAGACAGUUGACAAUAACAAUUCACCAUUUGUAUUUUUAUGAUUCUUGUGUGUACGAGUAUGUUUUGCAAAAUAAUCUUUCAAAGUAAGACGUUUUUCCGACUGCAUGAUUUACUUUCGCCUCGGCCGGUUACAAAACUCAAAAGCCGUGUCGAAGUGAGCUGUGAUGUUUCCUGACAAAACAAGAAACGUCUACUAGCUGUAGUUUUCCUUGUACAGUGUUUAUUAGUGCAGAUGUCUGAUGAAAUACUACGCGUAUUGCAUUGUUGUAAUAUUUUAAUUUACAAUAUUCUGUACUGACAAAUAAAAGCAAGACAAACAAUUAAAUGAAACUACUAAAUAAAUUAUGCCCUGUUUACUUAAUAGCUCUACGCCUAGGCCGAUGUAGUCUCCACAAGAUUCGCACGCCACCCAGUUUUCAGUUUCAGCAUACCCCGAAUACUUGAAAAUUGCUACUAUAUACGAUAAAAUAAAACAAAGAUUGUGAAGGGGAUAAAAUUUGUAGGCAAACAUUCGGCUCCUGAACGGCAAGUGUUGGUGUCCGGCGAAACAAGCGAAUUCGUAUAUUCCUAUACAGCGUAAACAGGUUACGCGAGGUUUAAUAUAAUAGUUGUGUUUAUUUAUAUUGAACUAAGUCAGAUCUAUAAGAGCAUAUUUAAACUAAACUAUUUAUUUGUUUCGAAGACUUGUAUAUUUCAUUAAAGCAUAUCUCGCCACUCCUUGACGAGUAGCUGUCAAAUACUGCCAUUUUUUGUCGUCACGUGACCGGCCCGGACUAGGGCUUCCUCGUGUCUCUCCUCGUCCUCACACUGAAGCCCUGGGAACGAGGUUGCUCUUUAAUAUCGCAAGCUAAUGCUACUGAAUGACGCCGAAAACGAAGUAAUACAUCGAAAAGCUCCUUCUGUAACUUCGGUCCAGGAUUAAUGACAUCGUUCAAGGAUAGUCCGUCUGUUUUAGCCGAACAAUCGAAAACAAUCCGUACUUUUGUCGUUGUCUUGUCCAUUCGAAUAAUUGGGAAAUGUGGCAAAUACCAUACUUCGGGAGGGAUCACUUCGUCUUUUCUGCAAGUAGCGCUAUCCCUUCUCCAAAUACGAUUCAAUUGUAUGUUGAUACUCCCUGCUCACGAUUUCAUCCUUCUUCAACUUCCGAGUCUCGAUAAUGCAUUGUUUUUGUUGUCUGGGAGUUUUGGACGAUUCUCUUUCCAAGGAAUGGCGAUCUCGUAUCUAGACGUUGCACUAUUGUGGCUGAUUGAUUCUUUCACCUUCUUCAGAGCUUCCCUAUUCCUCGCUGUUUCUCAGUGGCUCCAAUGCAACUCCAUCCUAGUGGUCCGAGUCGGGCUAUUGGGCUUCCUGGUUCCCCCCGAACAUCUGCUCUUGAAUACAGUAAAUCUGCGUUGUCCACUCCAAUCAAUAAGUCCACUAAACCUUCCUUUGCUGGUGUUGCAAAAUGACAACUCUGAAUAUGUGGCCAGUUGGUUUUAUUCUUUGACCAAUCCUCUACUUUGUAGCUUCCCGUUACGUUCUGAGGGCACGUUUUGACACUAAUUUCCUUUCGAUACUGUCCGUUAACACUUUCAAUCAUAAUCUCCACGGGCAUGGACUGGAACGUUUCAACCUCAUUGUUUAACACCUGAACUUUAACUGUCUUGUACGGCUCUUGUAGCCCUAACACUCCAGCAACUUGUUCAUUUAGAAAUGUUUCAUUGGAAGCGUCAUCCAGAAUAGCGUUGACUUUAACUUUUUAACCAUUUGCCUUUAACCAUACUGGAAUGGUACGAAGCGACAAAACUUCAGCAGUCGGCACACUCUUAUUUCUUGAAGUGUGUGUUCGUGUCUCUGCCCCCUCCCGUGUCAACGGUGACUUCUAACCUUCUUCCUUCUCCUUCGGUACAACGUCAUGCAACAAGUUGUGAUGGCUUCUUUUGCACCCUUGCACUGCGCAUGGCUUUGACCUGGUGCAGUCCUUACCGACAUGAUUACUUGCAAGACAUCGAUAACAUAAAUGUUUUUCCUUUGCGACUCCCCAACGAUCUGGCACACUCAAGCCAGGAAAUACCUUACAGGACCAAACCCCAUGAUUGCCACCACAUACUGCGCAAGGUGACUGUGAAUACGGGCUGCGUGUAUCGUUGUUGCUGUGUUUUCCAUCUCGAUUAGUGAACCAGGUUCGAGGUCGAUAACCUCUUUCAGUUGGCUUGGACUUUCCUCUGUCAUACUCUCUAGUCUGCCUUGGUUCAACUCCUUGGGCCAUUUCUGUAGCCUCAACUCGGAUGAUUACUUCUUCCUUUAGCCAGUCUCUCAAGGCUUUCACUGACCGUAUCUUAUGUUGUUCACUACACCAUCGACUGUAAUUUUCUACUUGACGUUCCGAUAGUUUCUUUACCAGCAGGCUAUGCAAUGCACCAUCUCCCAGUUCCCCACUGCGCCCCUCAGCUUCCAACUUCACUACGGUUAUCCGCACAAGAUCAGGAAACUUUUCGAAAGACUGAAUGUCACUGUUCUUCAGAGUUGGCAUAUUUUCUAACUGAUCGAGGUAAGCUUGCAACUGACGACGUUGUCCACCAAACUUAGAUUUUAAUAUGUCCUUAGCCUCAUUAUACUCUGGCGCCGUAACAUCCAGUCCACGAAUUCCAUCAAGGGCAUUUCCUGAAAGACUUUGACGUAGUCGAGCCAUUUUAAUAUUUACAGUCUCACUCCCUUCAUCAACUAGGCUGAUGAAUAAUGCCCAAAAAUCCUUUUGUUCCAAAGUUAUAUUUAAGAAAUUAAUAACUUCACCAUAAAGUUCCACAAAUAUAUCAACAAAUCACAAUCAAUAACUUUAGUUUGUACUUACGCGUCCAUUAAAACAACUGUUUAUCCCCUGCUUUCCUGGCUAUCCCCAACCAUCAAGUACGUGGCACAGUAUAUUUAAUACUUUAUUAAUAUAAAUGCCGUCUAAUUCCAAAUACCCUGUAAACUUGCUAUAAUUCGAUGUAAAUAUAUCGUAGAAACACCCAAUAAAGUUUAAAACGAAGCCGAGUUUACCACAAAUUUAUAAAACGUCCCCGAAUAUUGUUGCAAUACCGAUACAACUACGAAUAAACGCUGUAAAUACGCCAAAAGUCCUCGAGCACGAUGUUGUGAAAUUUUCCCCGAUAAUUUUUAACCACGCAAUUCACUUUAAAACCCCCAAAUUCCUCGAAUUGUCCUGGCAGGAUCGCCAAAUGUUGCGAUGUAACGAUAUUUAGCCUCGACAAGUACUCGAUUAGGUACAAAAACAGUGAAAAUAAACUUUAAUACGAAAUUCCAACACGAGUUUACUGUUUACUUAGCGUUCUUGUCUAUAGUACACUGAUUUCAAUAAUCCACUGAUUGUCUGCGCGCGCGUGUCCCGCGUUUUGCGUGUAAGAGUCAUCUCUUCUAAACAUGUAAGGAUAUAAUACAUAAUAAUUAGUAUACGAUUAUUUUCUUAAUCUUAGAGACCACCUGCAGCGCUAUAGCAGCUGAUAAAGGUUAUAUGAUGAAUUGGAAGCAUAUAUAUUAACUUAACCAAACGCUAGGUCUGUACAGAGAAAUAUCGGACCGAGGUCUUUUUUGUACAGACCGAGCCCGUAUAGGGCGAGGUUUGCACAAAAAGACCGAGAUCCGAUAUUUCUCUGUACAUAUCGAGCAAGCGAGGUUAAUAAUAAAAAGUUUAUUAUUAUGGCAUUUAUACUUGAAACAAACAAGAAAUGCAUGAUUUGAAAUGCAUAUUAGUAGCGCGGUACACAUUUGGUCGAAGAAAACAAAAAUACCAAAUUUAUUCUUUCUUUCAGUUUCCACUAAAAACCAUUCGUUUUAAAAAUGUAUGCGUUUGUUUUUACGUAAUGGACCGCCGGUCCAUUAUACGGGAAAAUAAUGGACCGCUAAAAGUGCUUCUCAGCCAAUCACAGUCCGCCAUUCCGCGCGUAUGUAUAUCAUUUCAUGACAAUAUCUAAUGCACUUUGACACAGAAAGCUGGCUAUUUGCAUAUCAAAUUCUCGACAAGCAAUAUACCGGGUGUCCCCCAAAAAAGUGCUCCGGUUUGAUUCUUACUAACUUCAAAGCGAGUGAAGCAAUUAGCCUCAAAUAACUUUCAUUAAAUAGAGGAAAGGCUAACUUAGAUUUUGAUGUAUUAGACCGCGGUGGGAAUCGAACCUGAGACCUUUCGUUGGCAGGUUCAAUUCUCUACAAACUGACAGCUAUGAGGUCAAAUAAUUUCAGGUUCUGAAUUUGGGCAAAUUUUCAACGUUGUAAGUUGGGCAAAUUUAUUUUAAACGUAGGUUGGGAAAAAAGAUAGUGGAAUAAAUUUGAAAAGCAAGAAAUAUGACAGAAAAUUGUCGAAAAAGCAAGAAAUAUAUCUGAUGUGGUCAAAUAUUUUAAGCCCCACUUUUUUGCCCCCUCCCCACACGACAAGAAUUUUAGGAGUUUAAAGCAAAGAAAGAAUUUGAUUGAUCGGGCAAAAUGAAAAAAUUUGCGAUCCGCCCCCUAAUUUUUGCCUAUGAUGAUCGACGGAUUCAACGCUUGAUAACGUUGCCAUGUUGGUUUUGGAAUUUAGUUGUUUUCUAUUUUUAUGGCGCUGUAUAGUCACACUAGACAGAGUUUGUGUCAAAAAUAAUUUCGCUAUUUUAUUUCCUGUAUGUUUCCACAUUAAGAAAAAUUUAAUGUCGGCUGUCGAAAUCUAUACCCUAACAGUAAUCAGUAUUAAUAUUUCGCACUAUAUUUACUUUUCAACGCCAGCCUUAUUAGCUAAUCUCACAAUAAUAAUUAUUGAAUUUUAUGUAGAUUCCAUUUUUAAUUUGACGAAUAUUUGGUGAAAAGAGAAAAAAGUCACAUUGCGUCCAUAAAUAUAAAAUUAAGAGUCUUAGAUCACAUCGUGUCGUUUAUGAAAUUGUAAAGAUAGACUGGGGUGUCUUUCAGUGAACAUAUCACGUCGUUUCAGUAAAAGUUGUAAAAUAGUCUAGGACUAGAGUACAUUGAGUUGUUAGUAAUUUAGAAUAAAGUUCUUUUAAAUACGGCAUAUUAAUUGUUGUAGAUUUUUGUUGCAAGUACCCAGCAAUGUUUGCUAUAGAGCACUGAAAUGUAGAGAAACAAAUAAUGGAGAGAAACAAAGUAUUUCUGUAAUCCCUCUGCAUGGCAUAGUUUGAUAGAGAUAAAGAAACCUCUGUUUGCAGACAAACGAC
This is a non-coding RNA of Paramuricea clavata, 11639 nucleotides long. NCBI's taxonomy places the organism in Eukaryota, Metazoa, Cnidaria, Anthozoa, Malacalcyonacea, Plexauridae. The record is from the annotation of a GenBank genome assembly.